This 254-nucleotide ribosomal RNA is filed under the name uncultured bacterium. Its description in RNAcentral is "partial 16S ribosomal RNA". It matches the Rfam family "Bacterial small subunit ribosomal RNA", at positions 524 to 776 of the family's 1533-position model. The record is from RNAcentral.
UACGUAGGGCGCGAGCGUUGUCCGGAUUUAUUGGGCGUAAAGAGCUCGUAGGCGGUGUGUCGCGUCGGCCGUGAAAACCUGCAGCUUAACUGUGGGCUUGCGGUCGAUACGGGCAUCACUGGAGUUCGGCAGGGGAGACUGGAAUUCCUGGUGUAGCGGUGAAAUGCGCAGAUAUCAGGAGGAACACCGGUGGCGAAGGCGGGUCUCUGGGCCGAUACUGACGCUGAGGAGCGAAAGCGUGGGGAGCGAACAGG